RNAcentral lists this ribosomal RNA (492 nucleotides) under uncultured bacterium. RNAcentral describes it as "partial 16S ribosomal RNA". It matches the Rfam family "Bacterial small subunit ribosomal RNA", at positions 29 to 507 of the family's 1533-position model. The record is from RNAcentral.
AUUGAACGCUGGCGGCAUGCUUUACACAUGCAAGUCGAACGGUAACAGGCCUUCGGGUGCUGACGAGUGGCGAACGGGUGAGUAAUGCAUCGGAACGUACCCAGAGGUGGGGGAUAACGCAGCGAAAGCUGUGCUAAUACCGCAUGUGAUCUGAGGAUGAAAGCGGGGGACCGAGCAGCAAUGUUUGGCCUCGCGCCUUUGGAGCGGCCGAUGUCGGAUUAGCUAGUUGGUGGGGUAAAGGCCUACCAAGGCGACGAUCCGUAGCUGGUCUGAGAGGACGACCAGCCACACUAGGACUGAGACACGGCCCAGACUCCGACGGGAGGCAGCAGUGGGGAAUUUUGGACAAUGGGCGCAAGCCUGAUCCAGCAAUGCCGCGUGCGGGAAGAAGGCCUUCGGGUUGUAAAACGCUUUUGGCAGGAACGAAACGGUGUCCGCUAAUACCGGGCGCUAAUGACGGUACCUGCAGAAUAAGCACCGGCUAACUACGUG